AGUUUAGCUCAGUUGGUAGAGCGGCUGAUUUGUAAUCAGUAGGUCGUUGGUUCAAAUCCGACAACUG
RNAcentral lists this transfer RNA (67 nucleotides) under Candidatus Enterousia avicola. It matches the Rfam family "tRNA". Rfam says of the family: Transfer RNA (tRNA) molecules are approximately 80 nucleotides in length. The record is from RNAcentral. Lineage: Bacteria; Pseudomonadati; Pseudomonadota; Alphaproteobacteria.